This is a long non-coding RNA of Meriones unguiculatus (Mongolian gerbil), 1225 nucleotides long. RefSeq lists it as uncharacterized. NCBI's taxonomy places the organism in Eukaryota, Metazoa, Chordata, Mammalia, Rodentia, Muridae. The transcript is spliced from 3 exons. The record is from RefSeq and is a predicted model, not a curated record.
GGCAUCUGCUAAGUGUGGCACGAUUCCUGCUCGGGACUCUCAAAGCCCUUGCAGCGAAGAAAAUAGCAGGUUGACCCAGUCCGACCGACGGAAUGCCACAGUAGGAGGAAUGGGUGGAGCCUGACAUCCGUGACCCAAUCUUUGUACCAUGGAUGCCUUGAACACGCAGCUUAGACCUUGAAAAGACCCAGGGAGACAACUACAAAUAUCAGAAGGAUGAACCCAACAAUGGAGAGUGUGUUCCUCAGCCAGAGGCCUCGUGCUCUAAAGCAGCCGAAACAGAAAACUGAAGGUCAAUGUGGCUGGAACAAAGUAUAAACUCAGUCUCUGGGAGGAAAACAAAUCUGAUGAAAACUCAUGGGCUGGGUCUGAGCCUGGAGUUCACUGAUUCAUCAAGACCAGCUGACCAGCAAGCUUCAGCAAUUCUCCUGCUUUCACCUCCCUAGUGCUGGGAUGACAGGCAUGUGCUGUCAAGUCCUGCUUUUUACUUGGAUGGAGCAAGCCCAGGGCACCUUACCAACGGAGCCAUCCCUCUAGCCUCCCAAUUUAUGUAUUAUUAUUAUUAUUAUUAUGAUUAUUAUUAUUAUUAUUAAUGCAGGCUCUCAGCUAUCAGAUACUGACCUUGAACUUGCUCUGCCGCUGAGGUUGACCUUGAUGCCCCUGCCUCUCUCUACCUAUGGGUCUUGACCCCUUAGGGGUGGAAUAUCAGAGAUCCUGCAGAUCAGAUAUUUACAUUACGAUUCAUCCCAACAGCAAAACUACAGUUAUGAAGUAGCCAUGAAAUAGUUUUAUGGGGGGCAGGGCUCAUUGCAACAUGAGGAGGGUCAUGGCAACAUGUAUUAAAGGGUCUUAGCAUUACGGAAGGCCGAGAACACUGCCCUCGAGUGUUGCCAUCACAAGUGCCACACCUGGUUUACGUGGUCCUGGAGAAGAAGCCCAGGCAUUCCUGGACACUAGUUAAACUCUCUACCAACUGAGCUACCUCUCAGUCCCCUAAUUCCAAUUUUGACAUUAAGACUUUAAAAACCAAGCUGGGGCUAGAGAGGGCCUCAGAAGUUAAGAGUACUAGCUGCUAUUCCAGAGGACCUGGGUUCAAUUCCCAGCAUCCACAUGGCAGCUCACAACUGUCUGUAACCCCAGUUCCAGGGGAUCUGAUACCCUUACACCAAUGCAUAUAAAAUAAAAUUUAAAUAAAUUAUUUUUAAAAAAUAAAAAUGAAAACCAC